Molecule: small RNA, 2906 nt
Filed under: Pan troglodytes (chimpanzee)
Lineage: Eukaryota; Metazoa; Chordata; Mammalia; Primates; Hominidae
Description: processed transcript
Source: RNAcentral
GAGAGUGCGGCUGCUGAGAGCCGAGCCCAGCAAUCCCGAUCCUCUGAGUCGUGAAGAAGGGAGGCAGCGAGGGGGUUGGGGUUGGGGCCUGAGGCAAGGCUCCGCUCUUGCCAGAGGGACAGGAGCCAUGGCUCAGAAAAUGGACUGUGGUGCGGGCCUCCUCGGCUUCCAGGCUGAGGCCUCCGUAGAAGACAGCGCCUUGCUUAUGCAGACCUUGAUGGAGGCCAUCCAGAUCUCAGAGGCUCCACCUACUAACCAGGCCACCACAGCUGCUAGUCCCCAGAGUUCACAGCCCCCAACUGCCAAUGAGAUGGCUGACAUUCAGGUUUCAGCAGCUGCCGCUAGGCCUAAGUCAGCCUUUAAAGUCCAGAAUGCCACCACAAAAGGCCCAAAUGGUGUCUAUGAUUUCUCUCAGGCUCAUAAUGCCAAGGAUGUGCCCAACACGCAGCCCAAGGCAGCCUUUAAGUCCCAAAAUGCUACCCCAAAGGGUCCAAAUGCUGCCUAUGAUUUUUCCCAGGCAGCAACCACUGGUGAGUUAGCUGCUAACAAGUCUGAGAUGGCCUUCAAGGCCCAGAAUGCCACUACUAAAGUGGGCCCAAAUGCCACCUACAAUUUCUCUCAGUCUCUCAAUGCCAAUGACCUGGCCAACAGCAGGCCUAAGACCCCUUUCAAGGCUUGGAAUGAUACCACUAAGGCCCCAACAGCUGAUACCCAGACCCAGAAUGUAAAUCAGGCCAAAAUGUCCACUUCCCAGGCUGACAUAGAGACCGACCCAGGUAUCUCUGAACCUGACGGUGCAACUGCACAGACAUCAGCAGAUGGUUCCCAGGCUCAGAAUCUGGAGUCCCGGACAAUAAUUCGGGGCAAGAGGACCCGCAAGAUUAAUAACUUGAAUGUUGAAGAGAACAGCAGUGGGGAUCAGAGGCGGGCCCCACUGGCUGCAGGGACCUGGAGGUCUGCACCAGUUCCAGUGACCACUCAGAACCCACCUGGCGCACCCCCCAAUGUGCUCUGGCAGACGCCAUUGGCUUGGCAGAACCCCUCAGGCUGGCAAAACCAGACAGCCAGGCAGACCCCACCAGCACGUCAGAGCCCUCCAGCUAGGCAGACCCCACCAGCCUGGCAGAACCCAGUCGCUUGGCAGAACCCAGUGAUUUGGCCAAACCCAGUAAUCUGGCAGAACCCAGUGAUCUGGCCAAACCCCAUUGUCUGGCCCGGCCCUGUUGUCUGGCCGAAUCCACUGGCCUGGCAGAAUCCACCUGGAUGGCAGACCCCACCUGGAUGGCAGACCCCACCGGGCUGGCAGGGUCCUCCAGACUGGCAAGGUCCUCCUGACUGGCCGCUACCACCCGACUGGCCACUGCCACCUGAUUGGCCACUUCCCACUGACUGGCCACUACCACCUGACUGGAUCCCCGCUGAUUGGCCAAUUCCACCUGACUGGCAGAACCUGCGCCCCUCGCCUAACCUGCGCCCUUCUCCCAACUCGCGUGCCUCACAGAACCCGGGUGCUGCACAGCCCCGAGAUGUGGCCCUUCUUCAGGAAAGAGCAAAUAAGUUGGUCAAGUACUUGAUGCUUAAGGACUACACAAAGGUGCCCAUCAAGCGCUCAGAAAUGCUGAGAGAUAUCAUCCGUGAAUACACUGAUGUUUAUCCAGAAAUCAUUGAACGUGCAUGCUUUGUCCUAGAGAAGAAAUUUGGGAUUCAGCUGAAAGAAAUUGACAAAGAAGAACACCUGUAUAUUCUCAUCAGUACCCCCGAGUCCCUGGCUGGCAUACUGGGAACGUAAGAUGGGAAAGAAGGUGGAACAUGGCCUUUCUCAGUGGUGCUUUUUUUCUAGGAGUUUCACGUAGAUCAGGGUCCAGGGUUCAGGGUCACAUAGCAGGUCAUGGGCAGAGCUGGGGUAUAAUUCUCCCCUAGCUGAGGAAUAUUGGGGAGGCUAGAUGGGCAAGCUGGUUGGGGUCUCUCGUGCAAAUGGCUGCUGAAAAUAUAUUCUUUCUAUAUUCCCUUAGGACCAAAGACACACCCAAGCUCGGUCUCCUCUUGGUGAUUCUGGGUGUCAUCUUCAUGAAUGGCAACCGUGCCAGUGAGGCUGUCCUCUGGGAGGCACUACGCAAGAUGGGACUGCGUCCUGGGGUGAGACAUCCCCUCCUUGGAGAUCUAAGGAAACUUCUCACCUAUGAGUUUGUAAAGCAGAAAUACCUGGACUACAGACGAGUGCCCAACAGCAACCCCCCGGAGUAUGAGUUCCUCUGGGGCCUCCGUUCCUACCAUGAGACUAGCAAGAUGAAAGUGCUGAGAUUCAUUGCAGAGGUUCAGAAAAGAGACCCUCGUGACUGGACUGCACAGUUCAUGGAGGCUGCAGAUGAGGCCUUGGAUGCUCUGGAUGCUGCUGCAGCUGAGGCCGAAGCCCGGGCUGAAGCAAGAACCCGCAUGGGAAUUGGAGAUGAGGCUGUGUCUGGGCCCUGGAGCUGGGAUGACAUUGAGUUUGAGCUGCUGACCUGGGAUGAGGAAGGAGAUUUUGGAGAUCCCUGGUCCAGAAUUCCAUUUACCUUCUGGGCCAGAUACCACCAGAAUGCCCGCUCCAGAUUCCCUCAGACCUUUGCCGGUCCCAUUAUUGGUCCUGGUGGUACAGCCAGUGCCAACUUCGCUGCCAACUUUGGUGCCAUUGGUUUCUUCUGGGUUGAGUGAGAUGUUGGAUAUUGCUAUCAAUCGCAGUAGUCUUUCCCCUGUGUGAGGCUGAAGCCUCAGAUUCCUUCUAAACACAGCUAUCUAGAGAGCCACAUCCUGUUGACUGAAAGUGGCAUGCAAGAUAAAUUUAUUUGCUGUUCCUUGUCUACUGCUUUUUUUCCCCUUGUGUGCUGUCAAGUUUUGGUAUCAGAAAUAAACAUUGAAAUUGCAAAGUG